CCUGUGGUUAUCACGUCUGCUUUACACGCAGAAGAUCGCCGGUUCGAACCCGGCCAGG
This 58-nucleotide transfer RNA is filed under the name Caenorhabditis remanei. It matches the Rfam family "tRNA". From Rfam's summary of the family: Transfer RNA (tRNA) molecules are approximately 80 nucleotides in length. Their secondary structure includes four short double-helical elements and three loops (D, anti-codon, and T loops). Further hydrogen bonds mediate the characteristic L-shaped molecular structure. tRNAs have two regions of fundamental functional importance: the anti-codon, which is responsible for specific mRNA codon recognition, and the 3' end, to which the tRNAs corresponding amino acid is attached (by aminoacyl-tRNA synthetases). tRNAs cope with the degeneracy of the genetic code in two manners: having more than one tRNA (with a specific anti-codon) for a particular amino acid; and 'wobble' base-pairing, i.e. permitting non-standard base-pairing at the 3rd anti-codon position. The record is from Rfam by way of RNAcentral. Lineage: Eukaryota; Metazoa; Nematoda; Chromadorea; Rhabditida; Rhabditidae.